RNAcentral lists this ribosomal RNA (483 nucleotides) under uncultured bacterium. Its description in RNAcentral is "bacterial SSU rRNA". It matches the Rfam family "Bacterial small subunit ribosomal RNA", at positions 30 to 507 of the family's 1533-position model. The record is from RNAcentral.
UUGAACGCUGGCGGCAUGCCUUACACAUGCAAGUCGAACGGCAGCACGGGAGCAAUCCUGGUGGCGAGUGGCGAACGGGUGAGUAAUAUAUCGGAACGUGCCCAGUCGUGGGGGAUAACGUAGCGAAAGCUACGCUAAUACCGCAUACGAUCUAUGGAUGAAAGCGGGGGAUCGCAAGACCUCGCGCGAUUGGAGCGGCCGAUAUCAGAUUAGGUAGUUGGUGAGGUAAAGGCUCACCAAGCCGACGAUCUGUAGCUGGUCUGAGAGGACGACCAGCCACACUGGGACUGAGACACGGCCCAGACUCCUACGGGAGGCAGCAGUGGGGAAUUUUGGACAAUGGGCGCAAGCCUGAUCCAGCAAUGCCGCGUGCAGGAUGAAGGCCUUCGGGUUGUAAACUGCUUUUGUACGGAACGAAACGGUGAGCUCUAAUACAGUUUGCUAAUGACGGUACCGUAAGAAUGAGCACCGGCUAACUACGUG